GUCUUAUCCAAGCAGCCAGUAUUUCUAGCCUGAGUUACUUCAGUAGAGUCUUCUUCUGGGGUCUCCAUCCCUUGCCUUAUUCUGCAUGCUAUCAGCAUAGCAAGCACAGACUCACUCCUUUGCCCCAAAUGCAUAGUGGCUUCCUAUUCAUCCAGAAUACAAGCUCCAACCCUCACAAUGAUGACAAGACCUGUAGAAUUCUGAUCUCCAUUAUUUCUUUUUCUUUUUAUUUAUUUAUAUUAGGUAUACAUGACAGCAGAAUGCAUUUUGAUUCAUUGUACAGAAUUGCAGCACAACUUUUCAUUUCUCUGGUUGUAAAUGAUGUAGCAUCACACCAUAUUUGCAAUCAUACCUGUAGCUAGGGUAAUGAUGUCCAUCUCAUUCCACUGAUCUCCCUUAUUUCCAUGACUCCACCUCCCCAGACUCUUCUUUUGGGUCUCACUAUUUUGAUUACACUGGCUUUUUGAGCUCCUUGGGCAAAGUUCCACCCAGAGACUUUGACUUUCCUGUCUUCUCUUUAUAUGGAUAUGAAAAAAGUUAUCAGUGUGGUUCACGUCUUUGUUUCCCUAAGGCUCUUACUCCAUGUUUUGGCAAGGGCUUUCUUUCCCAUUAUUUUUCUUAGAACAUCCCACUCCAACAUUAUCUAUCCCACACCCCCCUUGAUAUUUCUUCAAUGCUUUCCUCUCUACCCAAACAGACUGUAUGUUUUACCCAUUUAGUUUAUUGUAUGUGUUCCCACCAUUGAUUCUAGGCUUCACUCAGGGAAUGGACAUUUGUCUCUUGUUCACUGCAAAAUCUCCAGGUUUAAUUGCUCAAUAAAUUUCAUUGAAUAAAUGAAUUUAUGCAGUUUUUUUAAUUACAUGAAAAUUUCCUGUAAAACAACAUGUUUAUAGCUCCUCUUGAAAUAUCAGAGUUAGUAACCCUUGGGGUGUGUUUUCCUAGUUCACAACCUGGGAAGGAGUUGCUUUCUUCAGAAACAGGUGGUGCAUGUUUUCAACCCUUCCUGUUUUCUCUCAUCUGUGUUGAUUGUACAAUAUCCGAUUCUCUACAGUAUAACUCAUUUUGGUCCCUUUUGUGUUGGUAGGGAAACCAUACCUUUUCUUUCCACAGAGAUCAUUUUUAAACGACCAGGAAGGAAUUUAAAGGAAAAAUAAUAUCAUUUGUGACUGCUUCGGGGAUGCUAUAAAUCUCAUCCUGAGUCUUUCCGACUGAAUACCUGUGCUCCGUGCCUUCUCUUUAGGUAAUCAUCUACUGUUGUGGCCUUGGCGAACCUCUAGACACUGACUUCCAAACUUUCAGCUGAGCUCUCUGCUGAGGUCCAGACUUGCAUAACCAACUACUCAACUGAGACCACCACUGGGAGUCCUCAGAUCCAUCUCAAAUCCAUCCUGUAAGAAUGCUGUUUUCAUCUUCCUCCCUAACCAGCUUCUCAGACCUUUUCUUCAUCCCCCAACCAGAAUUAUGUUUUCUCCACUGUGUCUUAUAAUCG
This 1489-nucleotide long non-coding RNA is filed under the name Marmota monax (woodchuck). Lineage: Eukaryota; Metazoa; Chordata; Mammalia; Rodentia; Sciuridae. The record is from RNAcentral.